Molecule: ribosomal RNA, 360 nt
Filed under: uncultured bacterium
Lineage: Bacteria
Description: bacterial SSU rRNA
Rfam family: Bacterial small subunit ribosomal RNA
Source: RNAcentral
AAUGAACGUUGGCGGCGUGGAUUAGGCAUGCAAGUCGAGCGAGAACCGUAGCAAUACGGGGACAGCGGCGCAAGGGACAGUAAUGUGUAGAUCAUCUGCCCUCAGGACCGGGAUAGCUGCGGGAAACUGCAGGUAAUACCGGAUAACAUCUCCGGAUCAAAGGUGUGAUUCCGCCUGAGGAUGAGUCUACAUCCUAUUAGCUAGUUGGUAGGGUAACGGCCUACCAAGGCGAUGAUGGGUAGCGGGUGUGAGAGCACGACCCGCGUCAUUGGGACUGAGACACUGCCCAGACACCUACGGGUGGCUGCAGUCGAGAAUCUUCGGCAAUGGGCGCAAGCCUGACCGAGCGACGCCGCGUGU